AUUGAACGCUGGCGGAAUGCUUUACACAUGCAAGUCGAGCGGCAGCGCGGGGCAACCUGGCGGCGAGCGGCGAACGGGUGAGUAACAUAUCGGAACGUACCCAGUCGUGGGGGAUAACUAUCCGAAAGGAUAGCUAAUACCGCAUACGACCUGAGGGUGAAAGCGGGGGACCGAAAGGCCUCGCGCGAUUGGAGCGGCCGAUAUCGGAUUAGCUAGUUGGUGAGGUAAAGGCUCACCAAGGCGACGACCCGUAGCUGGUCUGAGAGGACGACCAGCCACACUGGAACUGAGACACGGUCCAGACUCCUACGGGAGGCAGCAGUGGGGAAUUUUGGACAAUGGGGGCAACCCUGAUCCAGCCAUGCCGCGUGAGUGAAGAAGGCCCUCGGGUUGUAAAGCUCUUUUGUCCGGAAAGAAAAGCAAUCGGUUAAUACCCGGUUGUUCUGACGGUACCGGAAGAAUAAGCACCGGCUAACUUCGUG
RNAcentral lists this ribosomal RNA (482 nucleotides) under uncultured bacterium. RNAcentral describes it as "bacterial SSU rRNA". It matches the Rfam family "Bacterial small subunit ribosomal RNA", at positions 29 to 507 of the family's 1533-position model. The record is from RNAcentral.